UAAUUGACAGAUGCCUGAAUCUCGCUUA
This 28-nucleotide non-coding RNA is filed under the name Bombyx mori (domestic silkworm). The record is from RNAcentral. Lineage: Eukaryota; Metazoa; Arthropoda; Insecta; Lepidoptera; Bombycidae.